RNAcentral lists this unclassified non-coding RNA (2879 nucleotides) under Hevea brasiliensis (rubber tree). Lineage: Eukaryota; Viridiplantae; Streptophyta; Magnoliopsida; Malpighiales; Euphorbiaceae. The record is from RNAcentral.
GGAAAGAGCAAAAUCACUUGAUCCGAAUGAGUGCCAAAAAUCCACAACGUGCCUAAUUUUAUUUAUUUAUUUACUUAAGCAAAACCUGAAGGGACCCGCGAGCAUUCACCCAACUGUAAAUAGCAAACGAGAGAAGGCUUUAUGAAUUUCUUGACGAGGCACAUGGUGAUCAAUUUUUCAGAACUAUUCCCACCCGCCUAACCAUUUUAGUGAAAAAUAAAAUCUAAGAAUAAGUCAGCCUACAUAACUAUCUAUCUCAUCAACAACAUCAAUUAGGCCUUAAUCCCAAACUUCAUAAACUAUCUAUAUAUAUAUACAAAGUUCAUAAACAUAUUCAUCCUCAAACAAAUUAUGCUCUAAUCCGCCAAGAUGAUUACGCAAUUGAUUCGCAUGGAAAACCCAAACUGUCCUCCAAAAACCACCUUAGCACUACAUGCAACUCAUCUCAUACUGAUAUUUGUUAAACACAGUGAAGGGAGGGUUCUAUUUUUCUGGUCUAAGCUGCUUCAGCUUCAUUAUAGUUGGUGUCAUCCAUCAUCUCAACAACAGGAGCAUACUCGUCAUCGUCUUCAAAGUACAUUCCAUCCACUGCACUGUUCUGCUGGAACUCCCAUCCCAGACUGGUCUCAAGCAGUUCUUUGAGACUCCUGGUCCACAUCAAAAGAUCUCCAUCAACCACCAAGGCAUCUUGCACCAACAAAAAGAAAUCCUGCAAUUCCGAUCAACCUUUAAUAGAUAAGCUGUACGCCUGUACCUUUAACAUAAAAUUUACCCAUGCAAUGUAAUAGGACUCUACAUUGCUAAAAAUUGAAUUUCUCCCUCACAUCCCUCCUUCCUCCUUUUGGCCUCCUUACAUAGUCGGUGUAAAAAGCUAUCAGCAGAAAACCAAGACUCGUCCAACAAUGUUGAUACACCUACCCCUGCACAAUUUGUUUCUUCUCUAUCUUUCUGAAGUCCAUAUUUCAGUUGAUAGUAUAUGACUUUGAUGAACUUAGUAAAUAGCUGACUCCUUGUAUGGAAUGGAGCAUCAAUACAACCCAAUAAAAGGCUAACCAAAGACUUCCACUGCAAAAAUGCCUCGAGUGAUUGGCCCAUCAAGAAUGCGAUAUAGGAAAAUUGCAGCUCUCCAAUAAGCAAGUCUUCAGAACCCCCGUAAUCUUUCAUCAAAAUGCUUUCCAAUAAUUCUGUCUUGUCAAGAUUCAAAGACGUAAGUUCUUCCCCACUCAUUCCUCUGCGCUUUAUAACAUGAGGAAUUUUAGUGUAGUAACAUCCUCUCUUCUUUGACUUGUCAACAGAUGCAGAUGCAGAUGCUGAGAACUUGCUGGUCUCCAAUUGCUCCUCUAAAGCUUUUUCCAUGGCUGUUUUAGGACUGUUUUUAAUCAUCACAGACUCACUUGCAACUGUAAUUUCUCCUCCAAUGGGUUCAAUUCGUUCAAUGACAUUCUUCGUAAGGUAAUUAGACAACCGCUUCCAUUCUCGAUACUGACUUAGAUUAUAAGGACCAAGAUGCCGGUCAAACUCUAAGCUUUUAACUGCUUGAGAAAAUCUCUCUUCCUUGGCAGGCAAAAAGAAGAAAAGGAAACAAACACAAGAAAACAAAGUUAAUGCUCUGCAAAACUAGGAAAUAACAUAGAGUGAAGCGAUUAGAGUAAUAUUUCCCAUUUGAACAAGAAAUUCUAAAUUGCAAACUACUAUGACUGAUUGAUUUAGGAAAUCAUUUUUCACUAGAUGGAUUUUCUCUCCCCCAAAUCAAAGGUAAAGUUAAAAACUAAAAUCACAUAAACUACAAACGUGUAUCGAUAUAUCUCAGAAGGUUAUGAAUCAGGGAUUCAGCUGUAGGUAAAAGCAGACAGGAGCCUUCUAUGAUAGUACCUAAACCACUAGAAGAAUCUUAGGUCCCUACUCCCAUAAAGUUUAAAUCCUCUCAACCAUUAACAGAUCAUAUUGCACUGAGAAGUACUAGCCAUAAGAACUUCCGUAUUAACUUCUUCUGAAGAGAACCUAAGUUCAUUCCAUGCCAAACAAGAAAUACUAUUCCCCUGGGAUUUUACUGUUUCCCUCUUUAUUGGAGCCACAGAGCACACAAACAAACCAUAUUCAAAAUGAAGAAAGAAACCAAGACAACAAGGUGUCAAGGACCAAACCUAACUGUAUCACAACUCAAUCCAAUAAAGGGACUGCUAGAAAAGUUUGUCUCAAGUUAGAUAAUAUAUCAACUAAGAAUUUCUAAAUCAAUUUUAACUUUUAUGAGCAAACAUCAGGCCAAACUUAUCGUGAUGUUGCAAAACAAUCAUGAUCAAGCUAGUGCUUUCCUCGCAUGUUGGAGCUGGCUCCCAUCAGCAAAAAAUAAGGAAAGGAUUGCCCAAAACUUGGCUUGAGAAUUUAUAGCAGACAGUAUGAAAAUUGGGAGCAAGGAAUCAAGUAUGACAAUUGGCCAGAAAGAAAACCUCUUCCUCUGAUACUUUCACAAGUAGUUCCUCCUGUUGAUCCCACUUACGGACAAUCACCUCAGAGGGGCCAGCAUGAAUAGAGAAGCCAAUAAUCGGUGAGAACUCCUUCCCAUUCCUGCUGGAUGAACUAUAGUAAACAAAAUGUGGACCAGGAGGAAUCAUCUUAAUGCCCUUAAAAGCAGGACCAACAGUAAACAUCUGAGUGUCAAUUCCAAGGAGGGUGUACUGAGGAACGUCGAGGAGAAGAAGUGUGGCUCCAUGCUUCACAAACUCGAGCGCCGUUUCAGGAUCCAUGGUUUUAUUUUUGGCGUUUCUACUUUCUAGUUGAAGAGAAAGGAAAGAAGUAGAGAGCGCAGAUAGAAAGAGAGUUCCCUGCUAGGCUAGGUGCUUCCACUAAAAAUCCAGAAACAUCUUACGCGAGACUUCUUC